AACGAACGCUGGCGGCAGGCCUAACACAUGCAAGUCGAGCGCUCCUUCGGGUGAGCGGCGGACGGGUGAGUAACGCGUGGGAAUAUGCCCUUCUCUACGGAAUAGUCCUGGGAAACUGGGGGUAAUACCGUAUACGCCCUUUGGGGGAAAGAUUUAUCGGGGAAGGAUUAGCCCGCGUUGGAUUAGGUAGUUGGUGGGGUAAUGGCCUACCAAGCCGACGAUCCAUAGCUGGUUUGAGAGGAUGAUCAGCCACACUGGGACUGAGACACGGCCCAGACUCCUACGGGAGGCAGCAGUGGGGAAUAUUAGACAAUGGGGGCAACCCUGAUCUAGCCAUGCCGCGUGAGUGAUGAAGGCCUUAGGGUUGUAAAGCUCUUUCAGCUGGGAAGAUAAUGACGGUACCAGCAGAAGAAGCCCCGGCUAACUCCGUG
RNAcentral lists this ribosomal RNA (431 nucleotides) under uncultured bacterium. RNAcentral describes it as "partial 16S ribosomal RNA". It matches the Rfam family "Bacterial small subunit ribosomal RNA", at positions 29 to 507 of the family's 1533-position model. The record is from RNAcentral.